UGCCUUCUUCUCCCGGACGUGGAGCUUUUGGGCCGGAUUGCUGCUCUGCGCCGUAACUGGGGGGGGGCGCUUCGGAAAAGGGAGGAGGGGCGGAAGGACCCCCCCCCUGGAUGUUGCGGGAAAGAAAAGGAGAAUCGGGAGCGAGGACAGAGAGGGCUUGACUUCAGGUGCAGCAGAAUUCCCCAGCCCCCCAAGGAUUUGAGACCCAUCAGCUUUCCUCACCUGGUUUAGCCGGCCGGUUGAAGCCGUUGCUUGAACCCCUGUUGCAUGCUGACAGCUUCUGGAAGCCACAGAAAAGAAAAUUAACAAGAUGCGGAGUGCUGAGGGUGAAAAAAGGGAGUCCGUCCCAGCGGUAGGGAGAAAAUGGCGUCUGGCGGAAGACUGAGAGAGGACUGAAAGUAAGAAAGCAGCCGCCAAGUGAGGUUCGCAGAAAAUCCUUGGUUACUAUGUUCUGAGGUAACGAUUUGUGGGGAAACAACAGAGAGGCAUAGAAGGGGAGGAAAAACUUCUUUGUAUCGUCUUGGUUGAAGCGUCCUGUGCCAGGGGUCGGAGAGUGAGCUUAAAAUGCCCACCAGUGAACACCCGUGAACUCUGCUUUUUUCUUGCUG
Non-coding RNA from Podarcis muralis (Common wall lizard), 608 nucleotides. The record is from RefSeq and is a predicted model, not a curated record. NCBI's taxonomy places the organism in Eukaryota, Metazoa, Chordata, Lepidosauria, Squamata, Lacertidae.